AAGUCAUUUGUAGUAAGUGAUCAAGUGCAGUACCCAAACCAAAAUCAAGAUGAAAGUAAUCUUCAUGCUACUGUCCGCUCUCGUCCUUUUAGGAGCAAUCGUCGGAUGCACGGCACAAUUCCAGCAGGAUUCUAAUUCGCAAAAUAUCUUAGGGCAUAGACGUAGAAUGGAUUUUGGUGAUUACUAUUGACGCAGGCGUGAUCGACGCGACUGCUAAUCCUUGGGAUUCUACUUUAGCCCGAGUGUCCUAGUAUUGGCACACUAUAUAAAAAUAUUGAGUUCAUUCAGAAUUAAAGUUCUCAAGGAAUUAA
Long non-coding RNA from Phlebotomus papatasi, 311 nucleotides. RefSeq lists it as uncharacterized. The record is from RefSeq and is a predicted model, not a curated record. NCBI's taxonomy places the organism in Eukaryota, Metazoa, Arthropoda, Insecta, Diptera, Psychodidae. The transcript has 3 exons.